Molecule: non-coding RNA, 46 nt
Organism: Trichobilharzia regenti
Lineage: Eukaryota; Metazoa; Platyhelminthes; Trematoda; Strigeidida; Schistosomatidae
Source: Rfam
GUACUGCUGAAGAGUCCCAAACUAGGACGAAACAGAUGUCCAGUAC